UGAGGAAUAUUGGUCAAUGGGCGCUAGCCUGAACCAGCCAAGUAGCGUGCAGGACGACGGCCCUAUGGGUUGUAAACUGCUUUUAUGCGGGGAUAAAGUCACCCACGUGUGGGUGUUUGCAGGUAUCGCAUGAAUAAGGACCGGCUAAUUCCGUGCCAGCAGCCGCGGUAAUACGGAAGGUCCGGGCGUUAUCCGGAUUUAUUGGGUUUAAAGGGAGUGUAGGCGGCCUGUUAAGCGUGUUGUGAAAUGUAGAUGCUCAACAUCUGAACUGCAGCGCGAACUGGCUGGCUUGAGUACACGCAACGUGGGCGGAAUUCAUGGUGUAGCGGUGAAAUGCUUAGAUAUCAUGAAGAACUCCUAUUGCGAAGGCAGCUCACGGGAGUGUCACUGACGCUUAAGCUCGAAGGUGCGGGUAUCAAACAGG
Molecule: ribosomal RNA, 424 nt
Filed under: Verrucomicrobiota bacterium
Lineage: Bacteria; Pseudomonadati; Verrucomicrobiota
Description: Verrucomicrobia bacterium partial 16S ribosomal RNA
Rfam family: Bacterial small subunit ribosomal RNA
Source: RNAcentral